Molecule: unclassified non-coding RNA, 2046 nt
Filed under: Hevea brasiliensis (rubber tree)
Lineage: Eukaryota; Viridiplantae; Streptophyta; Magnoliopsida; Malpighiales; Euphorbiaceae
Source: RNAcentral
GUGAUUCAGUAACAGGACACACUCCUUGGUAAAACAUGUUAACCCAUAUAAAUCACUUAUACACGCUAUCCACAACCGAUGUGGAAUCCAAUGUUUAACUUAUUCAGUAUGCUAAGACAUAUAUUAAGAAAUAUCAUCAAAAUAUAUAAACCUCACCUAAAUAUUUAAAAAUCAUUCAAAUAUCCAAUUAUCCAAAAAUUGAUCAAAUAUUCAAACAUCCAAUUGUAGUUUUAAUGUAAAUAAAAAAUCAUAAUAAAUUUAAAAGUGUUAAAAUAAACCUGUUAACCUCAUAAUCUGAUUAAAUAAAUAAAUUAUUAAUUUUUUAUCCUAUUAAAUUAAGCGGAUCAUCCUAAUUAAAAUUUAAUCUAAUCUUAUUUAUGAUAAACCUAAAAUAAUUUAACUAUGUAUCAAGUCGUGUCCUGUAAAAAAUUGUCAUAUCCAAUUGUUGCGACCAGCCACUCACGCCUACAACCCCUAUUGCCAUCCACGCACACUCCUCAGUGAAACACCAAGAGCACGCCACCCGUAUUGUUGCUUCCUCUCCCUACCACCAAUCAAACCUAGCUCCUAUCUCUUAUGGUCAAAGCUUUAGAAAGCUUUUCCUUUUUUUAUUGGUACAGGUGAUUUCUUGGUUGAUUUCUUUGUUUAGGCUUUUGAUUUAUUGGUUGUGUAAAUCUAGAGGGGAAAGUGAGAGUUAGAGGGAAAGAAAAUUAAAAAAAAUAGAGAGAAAAAUAAGGUCAUUAGACUUACUUUAUCGUUAACUUCUAUUUGAAAUCAAUAGCGAUGAUACUGAUAAUGGUAGAGAGAUCUAAGAAAUGAUGAUGGAAAUUUUAAACAAACUGAUAAAAUAAAUAAUUAGGGAUCCCUUAUCAAAAAAUCAACAGUAGGACGUAUGGCCUGAAAAACGUUGUAGUAAGUUGUCUCAGUUGGAUGUAUUGAAUCCCAAAAUACAUAUUUGGACGCAUCAGGACACAGAAAUGAUUUUGGAUUGCACAAUAUUCCUGCUUCCAGGUAACCCGUUCCACAACACCCACUGUUCACCACGUCAAACUCAGAGCUUUGUACCCCUUGGAUCAUGUCUGUGAGUGGCCCGUAUGCAUCAAAGAGAUCUACUCUGACGUCGGGAUAUCGAUUAUGUACGAGAUUUAAUUCAUUUUGGAGCAUUUGGUUGAAUUGUUUUCCAAUGGAGGAAAAAUAUUCAAUACAACCACGUUCUAAAAUGAAAUUCUUGGAGAAAAGUGUGAUAACAAUCGGCAAACAACCCAAUGGAGGUAGUCCGGUUACCGAUAUUCUUUUUGCUCCUUCGUUGAUCAAAUCCUGUACUAAUUGCAGAGUUUUAUGCAAUAUGAACUGCUGGUAAGCUGAAACUGAGAAGGUCUUCCGUCGAACAGGCAAGGUAAAAUAGUUAACAACAAAGUCAUUUGUUCCAGCACUUAUAAUAAACAAAGCUUUCUUGAUAUGAUUUUCUGUUGUUUUCUUUCCAAUCGCAGACUCCAGCCUUUUCUUGUACUCUUUAAAAUACUCUACUUGCUGUGGGAUCCCUAUCACAUUGCUUAUUUUUGGUGUGAGAGGGUCAAAUCCGGUGCCACCAGAGGCAAAGCUGACUCCUGUCAUAAGCUCCUCAAUGCCAAGACUUGGGUCCAAAUAUGGAGGAACAAAAUCUUUCACACCAACGUACGAAGCGAUAAAAUCAGUGGCGAGGCGUCCGUUGGUGAACCUUCCGGUGGGCUCGUGAUUUGGAAAAUCUUUUCCAUAAGGUGGAAAGUUGCCCUUGAAAAUUGUCUUGACAAAGUUGUUGUUUCCAGAGUCUACUGUGGAAUCUCCAAACACUAAAACUGCAGAAACCGAAUUAUGAUUCAAAGCCCUUGGACUUGGUAGGGCUUCAAUUUCUUCAGCAAAUAAGGUUGACAAAGAGACAAUUAGGAGAAGAAGAAGAAGAAGAUAGUGUUUGUGACAUAUAUCCAUUGAUAUAUCUGAGUGAACUUUGAAUGCAUCGCUAAGUCCUGAUGAAUGAAUAUAGAUAUACAUAUAUACACAUUAUGGAAC